UUCAGAUUACUGGCUUGAAACUAGCUCCUCUAUAUGAGCUGAUUGUUCAGUCUACCCUUAAAGAAAAAUGCAGUGAAGACUUGUCUACACAAAAAUCCUGUUUCUUUGUGUCUCUUCCAGAUUGCCCAAAGCACUGUUACUUCAUAAACAAGGGCUCAGAAAAAUCAGAUUUAGCAGGAGCCUUCAUCAGUAAAAUCCCAUUUAGUCAUCCGAAGUGUGUGCCUGGUGUAAUAGAGAUUCUUCGACAUCAAGUGGCAUAUAACAGCCUUAUUAGCACCUGUGUCUCUGAGAAGCAUAUAAAUGAAGAUGAUUCAGAACUGCUUUACUUUGAAGUGGUACCACACAAGAACACCAGCUUUUCUGUCUUUUUCCUUCAUCCUGUGAAAGAGAAUUUAGCCUGUGUGCUAAUUGAUGUUAUAACCUCCAGAGAAGUCCAAUGUCGCCUUCAUUUAAAUCCUCAAGAUCCAACUCUAAAUUCUAGUGAUGACUUUAUAGCAAGAGCUGUGAAGCGGUAAGUAGUUUCAUUUUAUUUCCUAAGUUGGAAUGAACCUCAGAUGUCCAUUUAAUGGAAAUAUCAUGUGCAUUCAUAAUGCCAUAAACUCAGCAACCAGAAAACUUCACUCUAGUCAAAAGUUAUAAUAGUGAGAAUAAGUUACUUCAGUGUCUUAAGUACCUCCUUCAAAAAUUUUAAGCAUUAAUAGGGAUGGAAAGUGUUUCUUUCUAGUAGAAAGCAUGUGGGGCAGGGAAACACUUUUGAAUGAAGAGAGUUUCACCUUUUAUAAAGAUGCUUUUUUCCUUUGUAAAUAUGCUUUUCUGAAGACUCUAGCUGAUGACAGUCUCAUGACUGGUAUAACUUAGAAUAGCAUGGAAAGGACUCUUUCCAUAUCUACCUAAUACAAACCAGUGCUUCUUUUCAGAAAGUGAAGUGUUGUGGUGGGCUGACCCUGGCUGGAGGCCAGGUGCCCACCAAAGCUGUUCUAUCACUCCCCCCUCCUCAGCUGGACAGGGGAGAGAAAAAAUAUAACAAAGGGCUCAUGGGUCAAGAUAAGGACAGGAGAGAUCACUCACCAAUUACUGUCACAGGCAAAACAGACUCAGCUUGGGGAAAAUUAACUCAAUUUAUUACCAAUCAACCAGAGUAGGGUAAUGAGAAAUAAAACCAAAUCUCAAAACACCUUCCCUCCACCCCUCCCUUCUUCCCAGGCACAACUUCACUCCUGAAUUCUCUACCUACCCCACCAGCGGUGCAGGGGGAUGGGGAAUACGGUCAGUUCAUCACAUGUUAUUUCUGCUGCUUCAUCCUCCUCAGGGGGAGGACUCAUCACACUCUUCCCCUGCUCCAGCAUGGGGUCCCUCCCAUGGGAGACAGUCCUCCACAAACUUCUCCAAUGUGGGUCCUUCCCAUGGGCUGCAGUUCUUCAUGAACUGCUCCA
Harpia harpyja (harpy eagle) is the source of this 1433-nucleotide long non-coding RNA. RefSeq lists it as uncharacterized. Lineage: Eukaryota; Metazoa; Chordata; Aves; Accipitriformes; Accipitridae. The record is from RefSeq and is a predicted model, not a curated record. The transcript has 4 exons.